Molecule: long non-coding RNA, 1387 nt
Organism: Oncorhynchus gorbuscha (pink salmon)
Lineage: Eukaryota; Metazoa; Chordata; Actinopteri; Salmoniformes; Salmonidae
Exons: 3
Source: RefSeq, a predicted model, not a curated record
UACGUAAACUGAGAUUCAAUUGGCACAUGCGUGCGGAUUUGUGCAAAACAAACGAGAACUUGGGAGGUUGUAUCCUUUUAACAAAAAAAAAUGAAUUUCAGCACCCAGCGGAAAAACCGCAGUUGUAUAGGACAUGGCUGAGGUUCGCUACCAUUCACUCCCCCCUCCUCCCGUGGUUUGUACGAGAAUGUACUGGUCUAACAAACGUGACACAUGGAAACUCCCAUACCAGCCCAUGCUUACACCAAAUCCAAUGCUCCAAUUAAUCCAUGAGGGACUCUCCUACUGUCGCCGUGGGGAUCCGUCUGUCCAUUACCCUGUGAUCUCGGGCUCUAUCAUACUGCGACACACACCAGUGCUGGCAUAUUGCUCAUGCAUAAAGCAGACUCCCACCCACACAACCACUGUGCCAUGGGGUAUGAGCUUUAGAUCCGAGCGGACAGUGCCCCAGGGUCUGUCGUUCUAUAGUCUCCCGUUAAAAUAAGAACAGGGUCACGGCUCUGUCUCCCCAUGUGUCACCUCUCUGCUGUCUUUACAUAAUAAUAAUAAUACAAGUAAAAUGGUGGCAUGUUUAUCAAAUUUAAGGUCUGUUUUGUCGCUAAUGGUGACUGUGACAAAUGGAAUGAGAUGGGGGCAACGCCAGCUAAAGGACAUCAGUUAAGUGCUUUUGUGACCUUGCAUGAAACCUGAGGAUUUCUGGUUUUGCCAGAGUUAACACCUCGGCUUUAGCUCAAAAGGCUAACAGAGUUUUGAGUUGUACUGACAGCCCAUGGAAUUCUGCCUAAUAACCCAGAACUCGUGUUCGCGCCUAGAGAUGACACCGAGGGUUUAACCAGUACCUAUAAUCUGGUUCAGGUUAUUAAUCAACCUACCAGGGUGUUUACAAACACCACAGGAACAAGAUCAACCACAUGUAUCGAUCACAUUUUUACUAAUACUGCAGAACCUUGUUCUGAAGCUGUAUCCAUACCCGUUGGAUGCAGGGAUCACAAUAUUGUGGCACCACACUCCAAAAAGCAAGUGCUGCAGGCCCUAGUUUUGUCUUAUCUUGAUUCUUGUCCAGUCGUGUGGUCCAGUGCUUAGAGGAAAGUCCUAGUUAAGCUGCAGCUGGAUACUAUCACGCCUUACCUCUGCUAUUAUUACUAUACAGGACACUAUCACGCCUUACCUCUGCUAUUAUUACUAUACAGGACACCAUCACGCCUUACCUCUGCUAUUAUUACUAUACAGGACACUAUCACGCCUUACCUCUGCUAUUAUUACUAUACAGGACACCAUCACGCCUUACCUCUGCUAUUAUUACUAUACAGGACACUAUCACGCCUUACCUCUGCUAUUAUUACUAUACAGGACAGUAUCACGCCUUACCUCUGCUAUUAUUACUAUA